Non-coding RNA from Pogona vitticeps (central bearded dragon), 818 nucleotides. Lineage: Eukaryota; Metazoa; Chordata; Lepidosauria; Squamata; Agamidae. The record is from RefSeq and is a predicted model, not a curated record.
CCAGUUUGGCAGUUUGUGCCAGUUCAUCCUUUGAAUGAACCAGUUUGGAUGUAAUGCUCACCUCUCCCUAAAGAGAAUAUGAUGUUGGACAGGGAGUCACUGUGGGUGCAAAACUACCACCUUUAUUUCUGAGGUCACAGUCAUUGUCACAAGAUCCCCGGAGACAUCCUAAAUGGAAUUCUGCUUUCCAGGGCUCUGCUCAGCAAAUCAAGAGGAAUGUUGGUACACCAGUUAAGAAGAGACAUCGUUGUCUAUUGUUGCUGCUGCUGUUGUUUUUGAAGCCAAAAUCCCAUUAUACCAAGUUCUGGCAAGGGAAUGUGCAAGACUUGGAAAAUUUCAUGACACCCUUCACCGAAGGACACUGGUAACUGUAAAAUCAGCACCGGAAAGACUAUUUAUAGUAGUGGUGGAAAAGAAAAUCUCUUUAUAAGGAAAUGCUGGAAUUACAGAGCGGUUGGAAAAAGACAAAAGCAGAAGGCAUAAAGAAUCACAGGAGACUGCUAGAUGUUAUUGUAAGAGGCCUCACAGCAACCAUUUCUCGUAGACUUAUUUCCCGGCCUUUGGAAAUUAGUUUAUACAGGCAAGCCUCUGAAAAUGUAUUGCUGUAAAAAAGCAACAGGCAAAUAAAUUAAGUUAAUAAACAGGGCAUUCAAAAGGAGAAAAGCAAGUUCAUGGACUGGAAAAAUGAGCAACUCAGUAAAGAGGAAGUACACAAAAACAGAUCACGUAUUGUGUGGUUUCACCAGACUGUGUUAUUUCACUAUAAAGAUUUCUGAUGUCUUGGUGGGAGGAGAAAAAAGAUACAGAAAGACAGUGAG